Molecule: long non-coding RNA, 947 nt
Organism: Cimex lectularius (bed bug)
Lineage: Eukaryota; Metazoa; Arthropoda; Insecta; Hemiptera; Cimicidae
Exons: 4
Source: RefSeq, a predicted model, not a curated record
UCAGUCCCAACAUUGCCAAAGACUGAAACGACUUCUGCAAGACCAUACCUUGAUCCAGAGUAUUCGUGAUAUAUGAAACAAACUUAAGUAUUGUUAAUUGGGUGUAUACAUCUUCUUGCCCUUAUUACACACUCCAAUAUUCUCAGCAUGCUCAUAAUUAAGCGUUUAACUACUUCCUGAGGAAUUUCAUCACAAAUUUCAACUAAUGUUACUUUUAGCUCAGCUAGAUAGUUAUUUCUUUAUUUUAUCCAAUGUCUAAGCUUGUCCCAAAAGUAAUCAAUGGGAUUCAAAUCAGGGAUACGGAGCUGGUUUCUGGUAAACACUGGACUUGCUGCUGGUUUUCUGGGUGUAGACUCAUUUCUGCAAGCUUCCUUCUUACUGUUUCAGCACUAAUGGACGCAUCCUGCACAGUUCUAAUUCUUUGAGACAUUUCAGAAGCAGUAGAAAAGCAAUGUCUCGGAGUGUGCAAUUUGAUAAAUCGGUCAUCAGCUAGUCCCUUGACUUUUGGGCGUCCUGAUUCUGGUCUCUGAGUUCACCUUGCAAUGAAUGAGCACUGAUACUCGACAACCAUUGUUUUAGAUACGAACAUGUGCCGAAUUGACCCUAUUCACUUCUCAUAGUCCACCGGCAAUUCCAGCUUUGCUAUUUAAGUAAACUGCUGGCAGACUCAGUUGGCAGUCCAGGGCAGACCUAAGUCCUAUUCUUCUAGCCAUUGAGGUUGGGCUCCAGCCUCCAGACUUAUAGGACUACUUAUCGCCUGGAAAACAAACAAUUUAACCCAGUAUAAUCAAGAAUCAAAUAAUGAAAAAGGACAUCUUACAACAGAUGCAAAAUAAUCGUGAGAUGCGGUAUGGUGUGAUGUGGAUUUAGGAAAAUAUUGUCAACGUUUGGAUCAUUAUUGAGAUCACUUCAGGGCCUGGGAUUUAUAAGCAUUGUUUAAAUUACAC